RNAcentral lists this ribosomal RNA (440 nucleotides) under uncultured bacterium. RNAcentral describes it as "partial 16S ribosomal RNA". It matches the Rfam family "Bacterial small subunit ribosomal RNA", at positions 338 to 795 of the family's 1533-position model. The record is from RNAcentral.
CCUACGGGAGGCAGCAGUGGGGAAUAUUGCACAAUGGGGGAAACCCUGAAGCAGCGACGCCGCGUGAGUGAAGAAGGAACUCGGGAUGUAAAGCUCUAUCAGCAGGGAAGAAAAUGACGGUACCUGAGUAAGAAGCCCCGGCUAACGACGUGCCAGCAGCGGCGGCAAUACGUAGGGGGCAAGCGUUAUCCGGAUUUACUGGGUGUAAAGGGGGCGUAGACGGCAGUGCAAGUCCGUGGUGAAAGGCGGGGGCUCAACCCCCGGACUGCUCUGGAAACUGUACGGCUUGAGUGCAGGAGAGGUAAGUGGAAUUCCUAGUGUAGCGGUGAAAUGCGUAGAUAUUAGGAGGAACACCAGUGGCGAAGGCGGCUUACUGGACUGUAACUGACGUUGAGGCUCGAAAGCGUGGGGAGCAAACAGGAUUAGAUACCCGAGUAGUC